This is an RNA transcript of Prosopis cineraria, 2011 nucleotides long. It is a transcript of the gene named mitochondrial uncoupling protein 1-like, with no coding region annotated. The transcript has 9 exons. The record is from RefSeq and is a predicted model, not a curated record. NCBI's taxonomy places the organism in Eukaryota, Viridiplantae, Streptophyta, Magnoliopsida, Fabales, Fabaceae.
CACUUUGUUGUUCGCUUUCCCAAGAAAUCCCCUGCUUGCACCCACAUCCCGUCUUCUUCUUUCUCUGUAUCAUUAUAAUAAUCAAUCCCAAGAUCUCCCACCUCUUUCAUCUGCACUAUUGGUUUUGAUUUUCUCUGUAUCUUACACUGCACCAAGCACUCUGUUUUCUUUUUGAUUUGAUCAUUUUUGGGUCUCUGCGACGCCAUGGUUGCCGAUGGCAAGUCCAAAUCUGAUAUCUCCUUCGCUGGAACUUUUGCCAGCAGUGCUUUCGCUGCAUGUUUUGCUGAGAUAUGUACAAUCCCGUUGGACACUGCUAAAGUAAGGCUCCAGAUCCAAAAACAAGCAGUCGCUGGUGAAGCAGUGACCUUACCUAAAUAUAGGGGUUUGCUGGGUACAGUUGGUACCAUUGCCAGGGAAGAAGGUCUUUCUGCUCUCUGGAAGGGCAUUGUGCCAGGACUACAUCGUCAAUGUGUGUAUGGAGGUUUAAGAAUUGGGUUAUAUGAGCCUGUCAAGAAUUUCUAUGUUGGAAAGGAUUUCGUAGGAGAUGUUCCAUUGUCAAAGAAAAUUCUUGCCGCCCUUACCACUGGUGCUGUGGCAAUUACAAUAGCAAAUCCAACCGACCUUGUAAAGGUUAGACUUCAAGCUGAAGGAAAAUUACCUCCCGGUGUGCCCAGACGGUACUCUGGAUCUUUAAAUGCUUAUUCCACGAUUGUGAGACAGGAAGGAAUUGGGGCUCUUUGGACCGGUCUCGGCCCCAAUGUUGCAAGAAAUGCUAUUAUUAAUGCUGCAGAACUAGCCAGCUAUGAUCAAGUGAAACAGACCAUUUUGAAAAUUCCAGGCUUCACCGACAAUGUGGUAACUCAUCUACUUGCUGGGCUAGGGGCAGGAUUUUUCGCUGUCUGCAUUGGCUCCCCAGUUGAUGUGGUCAAAUCCAGAAUGAUGGGCGAUUCAACCUACAAAAGUACCCUUGAUUGUUUCGUCAAAACUUUGAAGAAUGAUGUAUGCUUUCUUUUUGCUUACACCACAUGAUUCACUUAGGGACCUCUUGCCUUUUAUAAGGGGUUUAUCCCCAAUUUCGGACGGCUAGGAUCAUGGAAUGUGAUCAUGUUUCUCACCUUAGAACAGGCUAAGAAGGUCGCCAAAAAAAUAGAGUCAUCCUGAACGCGACCAAAUGUAAGUUGGAUUAUCUGAGAAGGACUGGCAGCAAAUAGAUCGAUAUUGUUGAGAAAAUAGGGAGCACAUUCGGAGGGAUGAGCACUGCGUGCUCAGCAUCUCUGAACAAAUCUGGACCAUUCAAAUUUAAUCUGGACCGGACGGUCCAGCUUAAAUUACGUUUUUUAUUUUUAAAUAAAAAUUUAUGAAAUUUUUAAUAAAUAUGUUUAUUAUUAACAUAUUCCGUCUAUAUUUAAUCCGAUGAGUUUAAAUUUAAUAUUAAUUUUUUUAUAAUUUUUUACAAAUUGAUCGUAUAGAUUUAGUUUGUAUUAUUCAGAUUCAAAAUUUUUAACUUGUUAUAUUAUUAGAUUCAAAACAUUCAGAGUAAAUCUGUUUCCUCAAUUUAUAAAAAAUUAUAAACAAAUUAAUAUUAAAUUUAGACUCAUCUAAUUAAAUAUAGACGGUAUGUGUUAAUAAUAAAUAUAAUUAUUAAAAAUUUUAUAAAUUUUUAUUUUAAAAAUAAAAAAAUAAUUUAAUAUGGACCGUCCAGAUUUUCAAAGUGGUUCAAGGAUGAAAUCACCCUUGAUGAGCACCGAACGUGCUCCCAAGAAAAUAAUGGUCCAUUCUCUCCAUCUAGUCAGGGAUAGAUUUUUACUCUUUUUUUUUUCUGCCGGGAAUAAUAGUAAUUAGAUCUAUGUGUACUAAGGAUUUUUUAAUUGCAAUCUAUUCUGUGAGGUUGCAUUCUGAAUCGCUGAUUUUAUGCUUGCUUCAAUUCAUCAGUUGUCAUCACCAUGGUAAACUGUAUCAUUGAUUCAUCCAUGAGGGCAAAUCUAAAAUUUUAGUUUAAGAAUUCUGGAUU